This is a long non-coding RNA of Rhodamnia argentea, 730 nucleotides long. RefSeq lists it as uncharacterized. NCBI's taxonomy places the organism in Eukaryota, Viridiplantae, Streptophyta, Magnoliopsida, Myrtales, Myrtaceae. The record is from RefSeq and is a predicted model, not a curated record. The transcript has 3 exons.
AAUGACUGAAGGGAAAUAUAGGAACGAUGAACAUCAUGGCACUAGAUGUCCCCUUGCGUUCUGAGGAACUACUAUGUUCAGAGAUCAAAGUGCACGAGUGGAUAUAAUCUCGGCACUUAGUGCUUACAACCCUUCGGUAUCAUCGACAAGCAAAACGGUGACUUGCAGCAACCGUCUUUGCACAUGGGGCAGCGAUUGGGUAAGACCACUCAACAGUUGACCAUAUUCCGUGUCCUAAAUAUGGCUAGAACUUCGAGUUCUGGGGCUUUGGUACAGGAUGUCCUACAUUUAAUUGAAUGAGCCCAAGCUAUGAACAUGUUGCGCCUGAAGCGUUCCGCUAAGUUCUUGAGCAUCACAUCUUUGAUCUUCACAGCCUCUGAAUUCCUUCGAUCAACAUCAAUAUAACAGAGUAUGCUUUUGGGAGUGCGCAAUCAUAUUUGCAUAAGGCAUAUCUUGAUAUCGGUUUCAAUUAGCAAUGUCAAUGCUGUUGUGGACAGGUAAAGAGUGGUUCUUUCCUGGAUAUUGCAGCUCCCAAUGGCUUGGUUGGCCUCCGGAUGGGGAAUAUAUCGGUACCUGAAAUUUUGUCGAGGGAGGGCUAUAUAGCAGACUCGAUCUCAAUGUGUUUCGAGCAUGAUGGGACGGGAAGGAUCAAUUUUGCGAAUAAAGACCAAGCUAUAAUGUCACUGUUGAUUCAAAUUCAGAUAGGAAUGACGCAACUUGACACGAAUGU